This 253-nucleotide ribosomal RNA is filed under the name uncultured bacterium. RNAcentral's name for it is "partial 16S ribosomal RNA". It matches the Rfam family "Bacterial small subunit ribosomal RNA", at positions 524 to 776 of the family's 1533-position model. The record is from RNAcentral.
UACGUAGGGUGCGAGCGUUAUUCGGGAUUACUGGGCGUAAAGCGUGCGCAGGCGGUUUUGUAAGUCUGACGUGAAAUCCCCGGGCUUAACCUGGGAAUUGCGUUGGAGACUGCAAGGCUGGAGUCUGGCAGAGGGGGGUAGAAUUCCACGUGUAGCAGUGAAAUGCGUAGAGAUGUGGAGGAACACCGAUGGCGAAGGCAGCCCCCUGGGUCAAGACUGACGCUCAUGCACGAAAGCGUGGGGAGCAAACAGG